RNAcentral lists this long non-coding RNA (3435 nucleotides) under Sus scrofa (pig). RNAcentral describes it as "lncRNA (ENSSSCG00060048136.1)". The record is from RNAcentral. Lineage: Eukaryota; Metazoa; Chordata; Mammalia; Artiodactyla; Suidae.
UAGUCGCGUUCGUUAACCACUGCGCCACGACGGGAACUCCUGUUCUCGAUUAGUUUUACCUGUUCUAGACUUUCACAAAACAGAAUUAUAACAGCAUUCUUUUUCUUUCAGCUCUUUGUUCAGCGUAGCAUCUGUGAGAUCUUCCUCUGUUGUCAAGGUAUUAAUAGUGCAUUCCUUUUAAUUCAUCCAUCCAUUGAAUUCACUUUGGAUGGAUAUUUGGAUUAUUCUAGGCUUUGGUUACCAUGAUAGUCUCUGUCUUCUUUAAUUGUCUUAUUUAGUCUAUUUACAUUUAACACCGUCUUUCAAUUGUUUAUUUGAAAUCACUGCAGACUUAGAGAAAUGUUGCAAGGAUAGUUGUGUUCCCCCUAAUGUUAACAUUUUUACGUAACCGUGGCACAGGCAGCAACAACAGGAGAUUGCAACAGUAUGAUUAAGUACUUCGCAGAUCCUCUUCCAGUUUCACCACCUUUUCCCUAAUGUCUUUUUCUGGCCCCAAGUCCAAUCCAGUCCUGAGCCUCACAUGACAUUUAGUUGUCAUGUCCCCUCCAAUCAGUGACACUACCCUGAUGUUUCUCCUGUUUUCCUUGACCUUGAAACUUGGAUGAGUACACUUUCGGACGGCCCCUCCCUCAGUUUGGGUUGACGGGUGUUUUCUGGAGAGCAGGCUGUGGUUGUGCAUUUUAGGCAGGCCACCAGGGAACUCCAGAAGUUGAUUUCUUAAGCGGUGCAUGUAGAGAUUAGAUUUUCAUAAUAAAGAUAUUUGUGUUAAUGAUAUUUUUUCCCACAUAGUCUCCAAUGCCAAGGCAGUGAAACAGGAAAAUAUUAAAAGGAAAAAACAAAAAGCCUGGCACUCUAGGUAUAAGAUAUAACUUCUUUUUGACCCUUUGGGAUAGAAUUUCACCUCAUCAGACAAGGUUUCACAAAGUUUUCAAAGACCCUCUCCUAGAAGUAGAGAAACAAGAAGACAGGUGCCAGGUAUGAAUCACUGUUGAGUCACCUGGGGCUGUGUUUUGUCAACGGAUUAAAAAGUCUCCGGGUCACCUUUCCUUCCACUCUGCACAUCCUGCAGGUUCGAACAGUGCCUUACACGGGUUACAAAUCACUUUCAUAUCCACCGGCUCACUUGCUAGUUCAACUCUGUGAUAGAGGCGUGGAGGGGGUGCACUGGGAGCCUCUUACACAUGAAGACAGGGAGACUGGUCCAAAGUCCCUGGGAACACAGGGGCAGUGAUCCUAGACUUCUGUUUCUGUUUUCUUUUUUUUUUUUUAAGGGCCGCACCCGUGGCGCAUAUGGAAGUUCCUGGCCUACACCACACUCCGAUUCAACCCCUAGCCUGGGAACUUCCAUAGGCCACAGGGGCGGCCCUAAAAAGCAAACAUAAAUAAAUAAAAAUAAAAGCUUAAAAAAAAAAAGAUGUUCAACAUGAAGAUGACACUCUAAACAUUCUACUUGGCAAAACAACAGAAGCACAUUCCCAAGGGAAUACCAAGGCGAGCGCCAGGAAAUGACAACAGGUCAUCGUAGUAAACGGUGCUCAGUGACACUUCCUUAUUUCACCAAAUCUAAGAAGCUACUGAUUCUAAAAUGCACCAUUAUUCCAUGCCAGUCAGAAAGCAAAGUCCUCCCAACUAACCCAUGACACGUUGACUUUAAGAUGCAUCCUGACCUCAGAUGUGUCCAAACAUGUCUCAGGUUUGAUGAAAUGCAGAAAUGCAAGACCCGCUUUCUCCAACUGCGGUUAUCACCUUCCCCGGCGUCACUAGCUCGUUACCUUAUCGAUACUGUUGAAUAGCGGCAGUGCCGUGUGUGGGACUGUCAGUGGGAAGAGGAACAGGAUGAAAGAAUGAAAGCAUCAUCUGCUGGGAAUCUGCUCAGAUCGGGUCCUACAAGGAAAAUUCUAGGAGCCUGGAGCGGUGAGCUCUCAGCAGCUCCCUGUAAAAGCAGCUCUUACAAGAGUGAAUUUUCAGAUCUCCUUUGUCUACUGCCCGUCAAAAGAAAUCACAUGACAAACGCUCAGCUCUUGGGGCGCAAACCCUGUGCAGGUAUUGGAGCAUCUGGGCGACGACACCCUGACACCUUCGUUUUGUUCAGUGAAGAGUUAAAGGAGGCAGCUGGUGCUGACCACGUGCCACGAAGCGCCCAAACGCACACAAAGCAUCAGAGCAGAUUCUCAGCCGAGCUGCCGGCUGUGAUCCCUAUUGAAAGGAUGAAGAACGGGGAGCUCAGGAAAGCUCAGUGGGUGGGUGAGGUCCAUCGGGUGGAAUGUCUGCGUCAGGAUUCAAACCCACGUCUGUCCACCGGCCCCCAAAGGCCCUGCGCUUUCCAUUGCUCAGGGGACAGAAAGCAGGAAGGGCGGAGGCCUUUAAAGGCCUGAAAAUCAGCUAGACUAAGCCAGAGUCUGGAAGGCCGACCCUCUGUCUAAACAACUGCCCAGCAAACUAUGGACCUUUUGCUGCAGAAGGGCCCAUUCACGUGGGGACCAUCGGUCCGUGGGACAGCUGUGCACCUGAGUGAGGGGGUUUCUGGCACCACCCCAGCUUCAUGUCACGUCUCACCUAAGAUCUGCCUGAGAACACAGAGCCACCAGCCAUGCAGCUGGAAGCGAGGACAAGAUGUGAACACAGUCACCAUGGAAGACAACGUGUAAAGAGGGCCACACGAACGACCUCUGAAUAUAGCAGCCCCUUGCAGCCAACUCCCAGCAAUCAGGGACAUUGGUGGCCAUGGAGCUGGGCUCUGCGCUGCACCAUGAAGAACAGACAGGUGCUAGUAGCCAGAGGAGGGAGCGUGCGUGGCUCGAGCAAGCAUCUGGGAACAGGACAUGGGGGAGAGGAGAGGAGUCUGCGGAGGUGGAGAGGGUGAGGUUUGACAGGUACUCACCACCAAGGUAACAAUAUUCUAUGAAUUCACUUGGGGCUCAAGAAGGCUGAGCAGGUGGUGGGUUUCAGGGCAGCAGGGUGACCGUCUGACUACCCUGCGGAGUGGACCGGGAACCACCAGCUGGCGGGAGAGCUGGAGGGGUAAUUCACACCUGACUCACAAGGGCUCACACCUGGGCAGGGGCAUCAAAACACAACGCAAAGCAGAUCAUAACCCACCGGACUUAGGGAACCAAAACAAGGAAGGCUCCUCAGGAAAAGAAUAGAGACGCUUUAGAACAGUGAUUCUCAACCGGGGGCAUUUUUGCAAUGUCCAGCAGUAUCCAGGGACAUUUUCAGGUGUCAUCACCGGAAGGGUGGCAUCUGGGGGGGGCAGAGGUCAGGGAUGCCACUAAACAGUCCACAGCAGACAGGGCAGCUCCCACAACAAAGAAUUCUCAGGUCCACAAUAAUCCACCAUGUUGAGGUCUAGACGCAUAAUUCGGGGACCGUAGGGAAACGGAAGUGGCACCAGGGUUCCACUCACCAGGCAGCUCACAAACCAAAAAGGCAAAG